RNAcentral lists this long non-coding RNA (5543 nucleotides) under Brassica napus (rape). RNAcentral's name for it is "long non-coding RNA (BNAP_LNC016827)". Lineage: Eukaryota; Viridiplantae; Streptophyta; Magnoliopsida; Brassicales; Brassicaceae. The record is from RNAcentral.
CGAUCUUCUUUUAUACUCAGGUUUUAUGAAACAAAACCUAGAAGCUGACGUGGGCCACAGUACAACAAAUACUCUGGAGGCCUGUUCCACUUCUCUGUGGGCUUCAGACACUUCAGCCCAAGUUCAAGAUGGAGACAACAAACCCGACAAACUCCACCUUUGUCUCUAUCGGAAUCAUCGAGAAAGCUCAAACAGUCUUCCUCCACACCGACCCUUGUUUCUCUGUCUCCUCGAACAUUUUCCGGUGAAUCUCUACCAAUUCUCCUGUGCAACUUCUUUAGGCUCUUACACAGCCAUCUCUUCAGCUUACCAUCUCACAUGCACCUGGAGAUGAUGUGUUAUAUCCGCCGAAAUGAAAACUUCAGCUUGCGACUUUUACUAACCACUUAAUUCAGUGACAAGUCCGAUCUACUCCACCGCAGACCCUUUCACCAGUACCUGAUUUCGCUUCUAUCAGAAGACCAUUAAGAGCUCAGCAACAUCGAGAUUCGUCGACUAAUCUCUCGUUUGUACGCUCUCAAGUUUAAGACUUUUCAAGCUCCGAUCUUCAUUCUUCAGCUUACCAACCAAUCUCUGGUAAAAUACUGAUAAUUUUUUUUUUAAAAAAAUUACUUUUCUCCUUCUGAAACAAUAACUUGUACACGCUCUCAAUAUCUUUGUUCAAUCUGCAGUUUGUCGAAGACAUCAAGAUCCAAACUUCAAGUUAUCUUUCUGUGAGGUAACCUUAUCGUAGCAGUAGUGUGUCAACCCUAGUGAAAACCCGUAAGGAUUGACACUGCUAAAACCAAUAAGUUACCUGCGUUAAGAAUACCAUUAAUCUCUAAGAAAACCAUAUAAUAUCCUUAACAGAAAGAAAAAAAAAACCCUUUAUCCUGCUGAUACCGUAGAUAAAUCUCCUUUCAAACUUUACCAUUUGAUAGUUCUGUGUGUUGAUUUCCUGUUACCGAUACUAAUCAACCUCAGUAUCUGUUUGUAUCCCUUUUGCGAGGUCCUUCAAUCAACCAAACCAGGAACCUCGGGAUGCUUCAUGUCUACUACCGGAUUACCUUGAGAAGUCCGAGACACUUCUCGAAACUCUUCCCAGGUAAACAUUUUGUCAACAUAUCUGCCGCAUUCUCAGUAGUGUGAACCUUUUGUACCUUGACUGAACCUUGCUCAACAAUGUCGCGUAUGAAAUGAUAUUUCCUUGCAAUGUGUUUAGUUCUGUCAUGAUGCACACUAUUCUUUGCUAGGCAGAUUGCACUUUGUGAGUCACAGUUUAGUUUGAAUGAGUCUGUCUUGAAUCCUAGUUCUUCACACAUAGAUAAUAGCCAGAUACCUUCUUUAGUAGCUUCUGCUAGAGCCAUGUAUUCUGCUUCUGUGGUAGAUAGGGCAACUACUUGCUGUAAACAUGAUCUCCAACUGACCGUAUUGCCACCAACUCUGAACACAUAUGCUGAGACUGAUCUUCUUUUGUCCAAAUCCGCAGAAUAGUCUGAAUCUGAGAAUCCCUCUAUAUCAAACUCCUCUGUUUUCGUAAACGUUAGACACACAUUUGAAGCACCGUUUAAAUAUCUUAGGAUCCAUUUCACAGCUUCCCAGUGACUCCUACCGGGAUUUGCCAUGAAUCGACUUACCACUCCAAUGGCAUAUCCCAAAUCUGGUCUUGAGCCGACCAUUGCAUACAUUAAGCUUCCUACUGCGCUUGCAUAGGGAACUGUAUCCAUUGCAUCUCUCUCUGCUUCUAUUUCUUCAGGUCUUAGGCUUCUUAGUUUAAACAGAGAAUUGCUAGGUGUCACAACUGCUUUACUCUCCUCCAUGUUGAAUGUUCUUAGAACUUGCUUGAUAUAUCUUUCCUGUGAAAGCUUUAGCACUCCAUUCUUUCGAUUUCUUUUGAUGUCCAUUCCAAGAAUUCUGGAUGCUGGUCCAAGAUCUUUCAUCUCAAACAUCUUGUUUAAAUUCUUCUUAAGACAGUUUAUUUUACCAAUGUCUCUAGCUGCCACGAGCAUAUCAUCAACAUAGAGUAGUAGAUAGAUCAUAUCCUCCACUGUCGUGCCUUUUGUGUAUACGCACGGAUCCUUAGAACAGCGUGUGAAUCCCUGAGACAUCAUGAACUCAUUAAAUUUUUGGUUCCAUUGUCUAGGGGACUGUUUAAGUCCAUAUAGGGAUUUCUUUAGAAGGCACACCAUUUCUUCUUUUCCCUUUUCUAUAAACUCUUCAGGUUGCUCCAUGUAGAUUUUCUCAUCAAGAACCCCAUGUAGAAAAGCUGUUUUCACAUCAAGCUGUUCCAGUUCCAAAUCAUAGUUAACCACUAUAGACAGCAUGAUUCUUAUCGACACAUGUUUAACCACAGGUGCAAAUAUUUCAUUAUAGUCAAUUCCUUCAACUUGAGCGUAUCCUUUUCCUACUAGACGUGCUUUGAAUCUAGGAUCCUCGAUCCCUGGAAUCCCUUCUUUGUACUUAUAAAUCCACUUACAACCAAUCACCCUUUGUUUCUCUGGUCUUGGAACUAGAGUAAAUGUAUCAUUCUUGUCAAGAGAUGAUUUCUCUUCUGUCAUGCCUUCCACUUUUUCCAGUGUUUGCUACGCUUAGCCUCAGUAACUGUUCUUGGCUCAUCCAGCUCGAUGAUCGUAGCACAGGCCAGUGCAUAUGCGAUGACAGAAUCCCCAUCCUCGUACCUUGAUGGUGGUCUGAUCACUCUCCGUUCUCUAUCUCUUGCUAAUACAUAGUCAUCUAAGUCUAGGUGUUCAGUCUGUUCCAAAUCUUCUCCCUCAGAGUCUUCAUCGGUUUCACUUGAAGACUUUGAACUUUCUUGUUCUGAAUCUACUCCACCUUGACCAAUAGACUCUGCAUUUUCUGAAUCAGCUUCACCUUGACUGGUAAAACCUUGAGUUGAUGGUCCUUGUAUUAAUUCGGUUCUGAAAGUCACUUUCUUAGGUUUCUUAGGUUUCUCAAUCUUCUUCUCUGAAUCAUGAUACAGCUUAUCCUCAUCAAAUACAACGUUUCUGCUGUUAGAGCAUUUACCAUCUUCUGGUAUCCACACUCUGUAACCUUUGACUCCUUGAGGAUAUCCCACGAAAACUCCUUUAACAGCCCUAGGACUCAUCUUGUCCUGUGUUAUGUGAACAUACGCCACACAUCCAAACCUUCUUAAGUGACUGUAAUCAACUCUCGACUCUGUCCAUAACUCUUCUGGGAUUUUAAACUUCAAUGCUGCAUUUGGUGACCUGUUUAUUAGAUAUACUGCAGUACAAGCAGCUUCCGCCCAAAACGAUUUUUCCAAUCCUGACUCUGCUAACAUGCAUCGAAUCUUCUCAGCUAUAGUUCGAUUCAUUCUUUCUGCCACCCCAUUCUGUUGUGGGGUGUAAGUGCACGUUUUGUGCCUUUUAACUCCAGAAUCACUGCACAACUUAUCCAUUCUGACAUUACAGAACUCUAGACCAUUGUCUGUUCGUAGAUAUUUCAACCUUUUCUUUGUAGUGUUUUCAACAAGUACCUUCCAUUCUGAAAAAUUCUCAUACACUUCAUCUUUGCUUCUUAGAAACCUGAUCCAUACCUUUCUAGAAUAGUCAUCUAUGAAAGUUAGGAAAUAUCUGCAGCCUGAUAAGCUUGGUUCAUUUGAGACUGAUCCCCAAAGAUCACUGUGUACAUAAUCAAGCUUCUCCUUUGAUGUGUGUCUGCCCUCCGGGAAACUUUGCUUAUGAGCUUUGCCAAAGACACAUUUUUCACAGAAAUCCAAAGUGUGAACUUCUUUUGGAUUCAAAUAACCUCCCUUAACCAAGAGAUUCAUGUUCUUCAAACUCAUAUGCCCUAGUCUGGAAUGCCAUCUAUUCGUUAGGUUUGUCUCAGCUCUAGCCACUGAUACUUCUCCUUUUAUGACAGAUCCCUGUAGAUAGUAUAAGCCAUCUUGAUAUUUUCCAGACAGUACUUUCUUACCUUCUCGAUAGAAGGUGACUUUAAAAUUUUCCCCUUCAUACUUGCAUCCAUUUUUCUCCAAUUGUCCGUAGGAGAUAAGAUUUCUGCCCAUUGUUGGCAUGUAUCUCACAUCACUCAGAAUGACUUGAGCUCCUUCAGAAUUUAUAAUUUUUAUUUUUCCAAUACCUUUGACUUCACACUGGGUGUUGUUUCCCAGUAAGACUUUUCCACCGUCUACUUCCUUGAAGUCAAAUAGUACCUCCCUCUCCGGUGUGAUAUGGAAAGUGCAGCCAGAAUCCAUUACCCAUUCCUUCAUAGGAUCGUGAGCGCUUGCGGUUAGGAUCAUGGGUUGCUCUUUGUCAUGAGCAACAUUAACAGAUUCAUUCGAUUUCCAGUUCUUCUUGUCUGGACAAUCUUUCUUGAAAUGACCCUCUUUGCCGCAUGUCCAGCAUUCUCUGGGUUUUCCUGAACCUCUUGGUCUUGACUUUGAUCUGUUUCUGCUUUUAGAUCUACCUUUCCAUUUACUUUGCGGUUUAGACUCUGAUCUUCCUCUUUCUGCUAUUAGACCUUCUGCAUUUGAUUUUGUUUUUCCAAAAAAUCCAGCUUCUUUUAGCUCAACUUCUUUUGCAUAUGCAGAUGAGGUAACUUCUUGCAGUGUCAGAGUUUCUUUGCCGUUCCCGUACUUGAGAGUAUGUACUAAAGAAUCAAACUGCUUGGGCAAGCUUGACAGAACCUGUAUUGCUUGAUCUUCAUCGCUGAUUGUGAUGUUCAAGCUUUCCAGAUCAUCUACCAACCUCAAGAAACCAUCGAGGUUUUCUUCUAUACUUCGAUGCUCUUCCAUCUUGAAACUAGCGAACCGUUGUUUUAAGUAGAUUCUGUUAGGUAAUGUCUUAGUUUGGUAGUCCUUUUCUAGUGCUUUCCAUACCCCUAGUGCAGUAGUCUGUUUCAUAACCUUUCGUAGCACCAGAUUUCCAAGACUAGCACAAAUCAUGUUUUUAGCACGCUUGUCCAUCUCUUUCCGAGUAAGAACCCCUGUACCGGGUUUAGUCUCCUUAUCACCAUCCUUGUCUUUCUCUGAUGUAGAACUAGUGUCUUCUUCAUUAAGCACACUGUCAAGAUCAGCAUUCUCAAGUUGCAUCUGCAUCUUGAAUUUCCACAUUCCAAAAUCUCCUUUUCCAUCAAACUUUUCCACCUCAAUUUUGACUUUAGACUUCUUCAUGAUCUCACUAACAAUCGUGAAAUCAACACCAGCUAAAGUCUAGGUUUAAUAACCACCAGAACGCAGCUGAGACCGCUGAAACCGUUCUUUUAUAAACCUAACCUGAGAGCUCUGAUACCUCUUGUAAGGUUUAAACGUCGAUUUACUAUGUUAAACCUUCGUUCCUUUAGCUAGAAUUCGUUUAGCUAUGUUACUUGAUCGAUUAACCUCAAUACUAACUUGUGUUCUGUUUGUUUGUAUGUAGGAGAUAAGACACAGCAAGUUUGUUUACCCAGUUCCCGUGAAGGUACGUCUGGGGGAAGAACAGAGUCUUCCAAUUCACUAACUCAAAGAGAAAGAAUUAAUAAAAGGGUUGUGACCUUAAACUUAUAAACGCCAAAGCUUAAUCAAGAGCUAAACACCUAGCUCUCUUCUUCUGAUUGAACUUAGC